AAAUAAUUAAUGGAUAAAUAAAAUAUAUUGAUGGAAUGAACUUAGUAAAAUAUUUGAUCAAAAUAAAUAAACAAGAAAAAUAAAAAUAAAAAUAGAAAAAAGUGUUAAAAAUGAAGAAAAUAAAAAAGAUCAUACAAAAAGAAAAAAGAGUGAGAAAAUGAACAAAGGGGCACGCCAGGGGUUGAACCCCAAACCUUGGGGUCACAGGUC
This 210-nucleotide long non-coding RNA is filed under the name Lathyrus oleraceus (garden pea). RNAcentral's name for it is "Pisum sativum (pea) long non-coding RNA (PSAT_LNC014843)". The record is from RNAcentral. Lineage: Eukaryota; Viridiplantae; Streptophyta; Magnoliopsida; Fabales; Fabaceae.